AGGCUUACUCGACAACAAGAAAUGAUAAUAAAUUAACUUUAGAUAUGGAUCAAAUAUUAAAAGAUUUUAAGUACGAAAAACUAAAAGAGUGCUUUCAAGAUAGGAAGAGAUUUUAAACUUAAAUAUCCAGAUAUCAUCGUCAAUUUGGUCGACGUUUCGAAAAAGGUUUCUGUAGCUAGCUCGAGGAAGAGUAAAAGAAAACUACAGCCUUGAAAUACUCAACGAGUUAAAAAAGGAUUCAAUCGACGACGAUCAACUUAAUAUUGGAACUCUAACAAUUUUGCAUGCCGU
Molecule: long non-coding RNA, 291 nt
Organism: Drosophila suzukii
Lineage: Eukaryota; Metazoa; Arthropoda; Insecta; Diptera; Drosophilidae
Source: RefSeq, a predicted model, not a curated record